ACGAGGGGAGCAGUAUGAACAGUGUAGUAAUAGAGCUGAGUUCAAGAGGUUGGCUCCUCCGACUUUCAAGGGUCUACGGAACCUUUAGAAGCUGACAAUUGGCUUACAGAGAUGGAGAAAGCGUUCGAUGUUCUAAGAUGCCGGGAUGAUGAAAAAAUUCAUUUAUGCAUCUUAUAUGUUGCAAGGCGAAGCAUUAAUUAGUGGCGGAUGUUAGAAUAUAAAUUUGAGCACGAUGGGAAACCUCUCACCUGGGAUAAAUUUCGAAGA
Molecule: long non-coding RNA, 267 nt
Filed under: Phoenix dactylifera (date palm)
Lineage: Eukaryota; Viridiplantae; Streptophyta; Magnoliopsida; Arecales; Arecaceae
Description: long non-coding RNA (PDAC_LNC007838)
Source: RNAcentral